Molecule: long non-coding RNA, 3269 nt
Organism: Cyprinus carpio carpio
Lineage: Eukaryota; Metazoa; Chordata; Actinopteri; Cypriniformes; Cyprinidae
Source: Ensembl
UAAUGGAUAUGUACACAUACAUGCUCAUUUGUGAUUAAUUCCAGGACUAGAACAUUACUCUAAAUCAACCUCAACCCAGUUCCACACCUCUGUCUCGUCCAAUGGAAUCACAGGACUCUUUUUCUAAUUAACUUUGGGUUAAUUGUCUCCAAGGACACACAGCUUGCUGUUAUGUACUCUGCAUGAAAUAGUGAGGAUAUUUUGCCAUGGAGAUGCUGGUCAUUGGUUGUGACUUUGCAUUGAUGGCAGCAGUGGCUCGUUUAGAAUUAAUUACUAACAAGAGGGGAGAGCAGAUUUGCCCAGAUGCUUUUUAAUUACACAGAAAUGUAAAUGAUGAUCGUCAUAGUGCCAUGAUGUUGGGGAGGCUGUGAUGUGUGUAAAGCCUGAGACACACUGCAUGGUUUUUGGCUGUCCCAAACACAAGAUUGGCAUCGGGAAACAAUCAUGGCAUUUUCUGGCUGCUUCUAAAACCUGGCGGAGAGCUAAGCUUAAGCUGACGGAUCCCUGUUUCGCUCCUCUGAUCAAUUUUCCAAUACGGCUGAAACAGCAGAGCCUUGUCCGAAUUCACACGAGGAGAGAUUAAUCUGUGCCACCUGCUGAUAUAGAAGCCAGGGUUGCUGGAACUUGUAUUUAGUACUUUCUCUAUUACAACUCUCAAAGUGUUUUUCAUGAUAACAGGUGCUUGUAAGAUAAGAGAGAGAUGGGAAAAUAAUCAUUUGUUCUAAGGAGCUGGCAAAUUGCUGGCAAGUGAAAGGGGUUGGUGUUAAAAACACCGCUGAUGUUUUUAGAGCGUGAUAAACUAGGCUGAUUUAACCACACCAUAACAGUCUUUGGCUGAAAACAUAAUUACUGAUCCACAGUAGGUUGUAGUGGUUGUUUUUUUAGAAUGCUUCCGAUUAUUUUUGAGAUUUGCCAUUGUGCCCUUGAGCAAAGCCACUUAACCUCAGGUUGCUCCAGGGGUUUGCCCCUGUAAUAAAUUCAUGGUGCUCUAUGGUGACGUGUGAAAGUCAUGGAAAGGUAUUGCACCAUUCCUAGUACACCUCCUAUCUGUUCUGUAUAAGAAACUCAUAUUCAUUGAAAAUGAGUGACUGCCAACAAAUCUGCAAAAGCUAUGUGACUAUAAUUGACUGCAGUGUACAGCUAAAAUGAACACUAGAGGCAGUAAACACACCUUUCGCAUACAGUAGUUCAUGAUUACUAGGGCAAAUUAUAAUUUUGUUUAUUCUUUAUUAUUAUUAUUACAUCCUUGCACACAUUUUAUUUCAUUUCUUGCACAAUACUAUGCCAUGACCUCAGAACACUUUUACCAUAACUCAUGAUUUGUAAACUAAUCAAUUUUGAGGUUUGCAUCACAUAACCAGCUGCAUAUGUAUGGCUCUUCUGACAUAGUAAACUUGCUUGGUAGCUCACCUAGUUACAAAAAGCAUUUUAAUCUCACUGUUUUUGUUAACACUAGCUUUAAGAUUUAGGGUAGAGUUUAGUGUAGGGGGUACGUUAUUUUUCGAACGUGAUAGAACAUUACCCUUUUGGCACUAAUCACAGACAUUUCUGAACUGCCGUAAUAUGAUAUAUAACAAAUAUAGUAAAACAUGGCCACAGCCACAUUUACAUUUUGAAGCAAAUUGAACAUGCUAGUUUGCUAUUUUUUGGGCAUUGGGUUUAAUAAACCUGCAUCUGCAAUGGAGAAAAAAAAGUAUUUAUUAUAGUAUUUAUUAAUAUUUUGAAUUAGCAUUUUCGUGGAUUUGUUUAUUUGUAUAUUUUAUGUUUUAAUUUGUAUUUGUUUGUUUGCCAUUAGGGGAAAAAAACUACUCUUCAUACUCUUACUUAUUUAGUUAAACUGAAUAACGUAUAUCAUGUUUUGUAGAAAAGUAGGCAAAGUCACAUAUUUCUAAUGAGCAUGGGUUGCAUUUAUAACAGUAUAUAACUUCAGAUAAAGGUUAAAGUUUCAAAAUUUAAAGAUUCACCAAAAAUUACAUCAUUAUCUGCUCAUUCUCAUGUCAUUCCAAACCUCUAUUAUUUUCUGUAUUUCUUUCUCUGAACACAAAAUUAGGACAGGUGCCUUCAAGGUUGCAAGAGCAUCAUAAAGAGGUCCAUACAACUUGUUCCAAGCAUUGUGUGAAAAACAUUAACAUUCACUGGUAAUAUUCUAAUACAUAUGCUGUUAAUUAUUGUGGUUAUAGUGUGUUUCCCAAAAGCAUUGUUAGUUAUGUUGGUAAGUUCCAUUGAACUCUAAUGGUAAUGAUGUAACUUGUGACCAAAGUUGCUUUUUGGAAACAGAUUAGUUUUAUGAACUCGAUCAAAUGAUUUGUUCAUGAAUAGGACUUUGAUGCUUCCCUCAUGAACACUAAUAAAUAUACCAAGGAGUGCUACAAUUAAUUUAAAAAAUUUCAAUCUUUUUUACAUUUUCCUCACACAAAGCUAUAUCAUGGAAAAGAGUGACUGGAGCAUUCUUCACAAUUUCUGUGCUUUUGUUCCAUGGAAGAAAGACUGCCAAACAUAUCUGUAACAACAUGAGCAUGCAAAAAUUGAUAAUUUUUUUAGGGUGAACGGUUUCAUAAAAUAGGUUGUUUAUAUUUUUAUAUAGUUUAUAUUUUACAGCAAUCAGUCUUGUAAAUGCUUAUCAUGUGUAAGUUAUUUAGGUCUGCUGCAACUUUUGCCUGGAGGCUUCUUCCCCUGACAGCUCUCUAAGAGGCUUCCAAUAGGUUAAAUACUCUACAACACUGCUACCAGGGAGAUCACCAUGGUGAGCAACAUUGCGUCAGUGACAAAGUCUUUUGUGGAUGAGGUGUCAGUGUACAGUCAGCUCCAUUCAAAUAGAAGGCUGAAAAUUUAAAGUGACACCGUGUUGAUGGAACUAAUGGACUUGCAAAUGUGAAAAUCUCAUUUUGUUGAGCCAGGCUGUCAAGCAGCCAUGAAACAGAUCAUGUAAGCAUGUUUUAACAGAGCAGAGAGUUGUAUAAAUAUUUUAGGAUGCAAGCAUAGCCUCUCUUUUCAGAAAAAAAAAAAUAUUUCUGAGAUGAAAAAUCACUAGCGCAUUAAAACGAUUUGCAGUUAUUGUGACUAACUGGUCUGUGUGGUGCAGUUAACUAAUGAGAAAAAGACAUUUUAAUUGGAUGAAUUUCUCAAAGUUUGCAAAGGAAACAGUGUUGCUACAUGAUUUCUUACCAACACACUGAUUUGAAAGAGGAAAUUACCCAUUUCUUCAGAAAAUUAGACUUUUGUUGCUGUUACAGUUUAAUUGGCCUAGUUUACAACUCUUUAAAGCUGAC